RNAcentral lists this ribosomal RNA (844 nucleotides) under uncultured archaeon. RNAcentral describes it as "bacterial SSU rRNA". It matches the Rfam family "Archaeal small subunit ribosomal RNA", at positions 75 to 922 of the family's 1478-position model. The record is from RNAcentral.
UAUGUGGCAUACGGCUCAGUAACACGUAGUCAACAUGCCCAGGGGACGUGGAUAACCUCGGGAAACUGAGGAUAAACCGCGAUAGGUCAUUGCUUCUGGAAUGGGCAAUGACUCAAACCUAUAUGGCCCCUGGAUUGGACUGCGGCCGAUCAGGCUGUUGGUGAGGUAAUGGCCCACCAAACCUGUAACCGGUACGGGCUCUGAGAGGAGGAGCCCGGAGAUGGGCACUGAGACAAGGGCCCAGGCCCUAUGGGGCGCAGCAGGCGCGAAACCUCUGCAAUAGGCGAAAGCUUGACAGGGUUACUCUGAGUGAUUUCCGUUAAGGGGAUCUUUUGGCACCUCUAAAAAUGGUGCAGAAUAAGGGGUGGGCAAGUCUGGUGUCAGCCGCCGCGGUAAUACCAGCACCCCGAGUGGUCGGGACGUUUAUUGGGCCUAAAGCAUCCGUAGCCGGUUCUACAAGUCUUCCGUUAAAUCCACCUGCUCAACAGAUGGGCUGCGGAAGAUACUAUGGAGCUAGGAGGCGGGAGAGGCAAGCGGUACUCGAUGGGUAGGGGUAAAAUCCGUUGAUCCAUUGAAGACCACCAGUGGCGAAGGCGGCUUGCCAGAACGCGCUCGACGGUGAGGGAUGAAAGCUGGGGGGGCAAACCGGAUUAGAUACCCGGGUAGUCCCAGCUGUAAACGAUGCAGACUCGGUGAUGAGUUGGCUUUAUGCUAACUCAGUGCCGCAGGGAAGCCGUUAAGUUUGCCGCCUGGGGAGUACGGUCGCAAGACUGAAACUUAAAGGAAUUGGCGGGGGAGCACCACAAGGGGUGAAGCCUGCGGUUCAAUUGGAUUCAACGCCGGG